This 200-nucleotide unclassified non-coding RNA is filed under the name soil metagenome. Its description in RNAcentral is "partial contains internal transcribed spacer 2 and large subunit ribosomal RNA". The record is from RNAcentral.
GACACUUUGCAUCCGCCUCUCUGUUUGGGAGGAGGCGGCCAAGCAGUGUUUUUCUCCUGGCAUGGCAUGAUACGUCAUUUGCUAUGUCACCUAAAGGAGGAAUGUUUGGUUGUGUCUGCGUGUGCUUCAAACUUGCCUCUGUGGCACAUCCCAAUUUCACUUCUGGUCUCAAAUCAGGUAGGAUCACCCGCUGAACUUAA